CCCGGGCCAGGGCUGAUCUCACAUCCUUCCAGUCCCUUCCCAAGGCUGCGGGACUGCCGGAUCGCAGCCCCCGUGGCGCGGUUCCCCCCGGCUGCCACAUAACUUCUCCCCGCGGCGCCCUGCCCAGCCCGUGUGUAAGUCGUGCGAGCGUCGGAUCAUGUUUUGCCUGCCUCAGAAAGCAUCCGGCACGCUCGCCGCUGCACUGAAACCCCAGACAAACAAACAGCAGUUGUGCAAGGGCGCAGGGCAGACAUCUCCGGCAGGAAACGAAGCGCAGGACUCGCUCUAUUUUAAUCCCGCCAAGGGUCUUCUUGGAAGCGAGGCAGAGCCCGGCUGCGCAGAGUUAAGAAUGAAACCCUAUUUUUAGCCUGUCCCUGGUGAGCCUAUCGCCGGGGAAGCAGCAAAGCCCAGCUCAGCGUGGUCUCCUGCCGGUGACCUCCAAGCUCUCCAGACGGAUGGGUACAGCUCUGUAAAUAGCGUGCUCCCCACGGCUGUUGAUUAAAUUCAACCCAGCUCCAUAACGGCAACCAGCCGCUGCUGUACCUGGUUGCUCAAGUGUCCUGAAUGGAGACGGGCUGAGUGAAGGCACAUCAUCACUGCAAAACAGCAUCUGAGUCUGAGAGUGAGCAGCCUCGCUGCAAAACUGAACACAGAGGGAUGGAGUGAGAGCCACGGAGACUUCAGGAGGCUUGUCUGCGGGUAUCCUAACAUUGCAGGUUUUCAGAGCGAAAGGACUGUUGUUAAUAUUCAUGCAAGGGAAGAUGAAAAGGCACUGGAGAAGGCAGCGCAUGGCAGGGUACCAAGGAAGUCCCAGCAUGUCUUAUCCUGUGCUCUCAGCGGCGAGAGGAAGGCUCACAGCCCAAGCAGAGUUGCUCUGUGCUAUAGAUUGUGCUCCAAGCCUGUAUCCUUGCCAGCUGCCCCUAAACUCAAAUCGAAGGCUCUGGUAUGAAGUAUUAAUUUAAGGCAGCCUCUGCCUAAGUGCCUGGGCUCUCUCUGAAGUGAAGGCUCUUCACCCAGUGAGCCCAGCCUGGCUCAAAUAAGCUUCACUGCUGGCAACCUUAGCUGUAAAGCCAUGGUGUGAAACAGGGAAACUUCCAGACUCAAGCCGUCCUGCCUUGCCAUUCCCUUGCAAGGACUUCAGAGGCCCCUGCGUCUGGAUUUGUCAAGCAUCCAAAUGCCAAGAUAAAUUUAAAAGCAGCUUCAAAAUUACCUUGAGUUCAUAUCUUGUUUGACUGCUCUGCUGAUAAGAAAGACACUAAGUGAUUCCCAUCAGAAAAACAGAGUUCAGGUGUCCUCUAGGGCAGGCCUGGUGCUGACUCUAUCAGGGGUUAAAAGUGGAAAGGUGCCGCAUGGUGAUAACAGCAGAAAUACCCUCCCGAGAGACUCCAGGCUGCCUGGAGAUGUAAUGUGAAGGCGAGUGAACCGGCCUAAAGGUCUCAAGCCAUUAGAUCAGUUUGUACUUCCCCACAGCAUUGCAAUAUUCCUCAGCUGCUUUUAUGUAUUUCUAAAGCUUUCCUCACCUCUGCACAUGAUAGCUGAGCAUGAAGCAUAUCCAUCAAUUUAGCAUUUGACUUCAUCUAUCUCAGUGCAUCCAUCACGUGUCACUUGAGCGUGCUUUCUUCCCUAUGCAGAGCCUAUUUGUAGCCUGUUAUCAGGCCAGAUCCUGAAGAUGCUCUCAGAGAAACUUUCGCUGGAACCAUCUUCCACUGGAAACAUUUUUCUUCUCCUAGAAACUGGCCAAAGAAGAACUGCUCAGAUAUAUCUAAGUGCUCAGUGAGAUUUCUCUUGAAGAAAUCAAGAUCAAAGCUCGUACAAUUAAGGACAAACUAAAAGCAAGGGCACCUUUACUAAAGCUCAUUAAAAAUAUCCUUUGUACCUAUCUCCUGCAUGGCACCCAAAGUCUCAUGAAUACAGUGGUCUAAUGAGAAUGCACUGUUUUUUUUUUUUCCUCAAGUAUUUUUCUCUUCCAUACUUAGCAAAUGUCAUAGUUUAAUUAAGGGAUGUCAAAGGCACAGAGAGCUGCCCCGAGAUAAUCGUCGCCUGCUGCUAUAUAAAUGCUGAGGUGAAGACAAGCGAGAAGGGCUAUCAUGUAAACGGCAAAUUAUGGAGCGAGGGCAAAGUUCAGAACUGGAACUGACAAAACUUUUAUUUAUAGAGGUGGGCUGCUUCUGCUGGCCUGUGCAAUGGGCUCCUCCAUCCUCGGUCCCCUUCGAGUGCUCCCGAGCUCGCUGCUGUCUCUCACGCUGCUUCUCGCUCCCGUGGCUGUGCAGGGAGGUUCACUCCCGGGUGGCUUAAGGCAUCCUCCGGGCAGUGUCUUCAGCAUCUUCCACCUCCCUCAGGACCUUGCUGACAGCCUGUAAUUUAGCCUUUAAAAACAUGCACGUGGCUGCUUCUCUUUUUAUUAGUAUUUACUAAAGUCCUUCCAAUCUUAGACCCUUAAUUUAACAACCUUACAUGAGUCUCACUAGAUUUUCUUUUCCUGAAAAACAACCUAACCCCAAGCCACACAGCUGCCUGCCCCUCUCUCCUGCUGUCUGUGCUUGCUUUCAGAUAGAGCUUGCCUCGUUCUCCUUCCCCUUUUCCUACAUUGGCCAAUAUUGAUCUGAUCAUUCCAGGUGCAGUUUGUGCUAACGGCUUCUUCAUGUUCUGCUUUCUGAGAAAUCCACAACCCACAAACUGUCCUUCUGCUGCUUGUCAUCCUUGUCUGGGGUCUCGAGAAUUCAUUUAGUUCAGAGGUUACUUCUCAGAGUGUUUUACAAGAGGUGCAGUCCCUGCUUUAUUUCACCAGCUACUCCUAAUUCGCAGCAGCUGUGCAGGGGUGACUGAACAACGCCCAGUGAGUUGCUGGUCUCUUCAAAAUUAUCUCCAAAUUAAUCUCAAAGUGCAAUAUUCCCAGAAACAUAUUUCCUUUCAAUGGUAAUGGUGCCCCCACACUAGCAUUGCAUCAACGUGCGGCUCUGGCAGACAGCAGGAGGGGGCUCAGCUCCGGCCUCGAUCCGUGUUCCCGACGAGUGGAGCACCAGCCAUGCAGAAAUGAAAGAAAACAUCUCUGUGGGAUCGUGACACCUCCUACAACCUCCCUGCUAUGUGGCAGACAACUGCAGAUAUGGGCUACAGCAUUUCCAGACUCCCCAGGUCAAGCCAGAGGGAUAAUUUUGCUUUGAUCGUGCCUGACUUCUCCCUGCAUUGUUAAGGAACAGCUGUAUUGUGGCUGGCCUUGAUGAAUACUUUAUCAGACCCACCGGUGAGGUUCGUCAAGGGGAACCUCCACACAGAGGUCCCUGGGGUGUAUGGCUCGUAAUGUAAAUAAUUGUAAGAACAAAAAGGAACCAAAUUAACUCCUUCACAUGGAAAAACAGCACAAGUCUUCUGAGCCAGGAAACAAACAAACAGAAGGGAUUUCUGAGGCGUUCCUCUACAAAACUAUCAUUUCAUUAGCAAGAAAUGAGCUUCAUAAAAUAUUCUGUAGUUUUACCCAUAACUUCUGAUAAAACUAACUCCCCUGUACCACUCAAUUGCACUUACUAGCAAGCCACUUGUCUAUCAGGUUCAUUUUGUUAUGCCAGGCACGCCAGGAGGAAAGGGCAUGCAAUUCUUAAUCAGACCUGGGAUACUCUUCACGAAGGGCACAUCGCCCCAACGAGCCACAUCCAUCACAGCUGCCCUCGGAGAAGAGGGGCUGUAUCUCCUUAUAUCCAGGCAUAUGGCUGUAUAGUAUAGAAAUUUAUCUCCUCCACCAAACUCUGGCUCCAAUAUAUUUGCAGAGCUGGAGGUGGGGGCAGCCCGGAGCUGACCUGGAGAACCUCCUGCUAGCGAGAGGCACCGCGCAGCUGACAGCUGAGCAGAGCACACACAUGCAGACCGACAUGCUUGCUGUCUGUAGGUGAGAUUUUUUGUGGCACACCAGGAAAAUGAAGCCUAAGGCUUAAUUUGGGGAGGGUCUCAGAGCCCUAGCAGUUUUCCUCGCAGGCUGGCUGCUCCAGCCAAGGCAGCAGCAGCAGUCCAAAGGCAUCCAUCCCUUCCUGCAGGGCUCUGCAGGCCUCCGCCGCUGCCUCAUCUCCCAGGGAGACACGGAGCGCGCCGCUGUUACCAUGGCUCUGCGAGACCUUUAGCAAACACACAAUGCUCUCCAAUAAAAGCUGUCAGCGGCGCGGGUACCUCUCGCUGCUCAGCACAGCCCUACGUGACCGGGAACACUGCUGCGCGGCAGCCAGCGACGGCACAGCCCAGCAAGGGGCUCUCGUAACAUCCUCCCUCGCUCAGGCGGCUCUAGUAAAAUCCAGGCCCAAGGACUUCGGUUAAUGCUUUCUCUAAAAUUUUACGCAGCUUGGCUCGGACACAGGUUCAGCCUCGCAUAAUUCUCUGUUGCAACACUGCUGGCCUCCCUCAGUGGUUAUACCCAAGAUUAAUUUAACUCAUUUUUCACUUCGGUGGGGUUACUCAAAGUCAGCGUUCAGGGGAAUGCGAGCCCUCAGCUUUCAAUAAAUGCCCCCUGUUUCUCAUUAA
Molecule: long non-coding RNA, 4506 nt
Organism: Anas platyrhynchos (mallard)
Lineage: Eukaryota; Metazoa; Chordata; Aves; Anseriformes; Anatidae
Source: RefSeq, a predicted model, not a curated record